UACCAGCACCCCGAGUGGUCGGGACGUUUAUUGGGCCUAAAGCAUCCGUAGCCGGUUCUACAAGUCUUCCGUUAAAUCCACCUGCUUAACAGAUGGGCUGCGGAAGAUACUAUAGAGCUAGGAGGCGGGAGAGGCAAGCGGUACUCGAUGGGUAGGGGUAAAAUCCGUUGAUCCAUUGAAGACCACGAGUGGCGAAGGCGGCUUGCCAGAACGCGCUCGACGGUGAGGGAUGAAAGCUGGGGGAGCAAACCGG
RNAcentral lists this ribosomal RNA (253 nucleotides) under uncultured bacterium. Its description in RNAcentral is "partial 16S ribosomal RNA". It matches the Rfam family "Archaeal small subunit ribosomal RNA", at positions 474 to 727 of the family's 1478-position model. The record is from RNAcentral.